RNAcentral lists this non-coding RNA (29 nucleotides) under Mus musculus (house mouse). Lineage: Eukaryota; Metazoa; Chordata; Mammalia; Rodentia; Muridae. The record is from RNAcentral.
UAGUCUAUGUCAGGUGGUACUGUUCGAAC